RNAcentral lists this ribosomal RNA (465 nucleotides) under Vreelandella stevensii. RNAcentral's name for it is "partial 16S ribosomal RNA". It matches the Rfam family "Bacterial small subunit ribosomal RNA", at positions 338 to 795 of the family's 1533-position model. The record is from RNAcentral. Lineage: Bacteria; Pseudomonadati; Pseudomonadota; Gammaproteobacteria; Oceanospirillales; Halomonadaceae.
CCUACGGGGGGCUGCAGUGGGGAAUAUUGGACAAUGGGGGCAACCCUGAUCCAGUCAUGCCGCGUGUGUGAAGAAGGCCCUCGGGUUGUAAAGCACUUUCAGUGAGGAAGAACGCCUGGUGGUUAAUACCCAUCAGGAAAGACAUCACUCACAGAAGAAGCACCGGCUAACUCCGUGCCAGCAGCCGCGGUAAUACGGAGGGUGCGAGCGUUAAUCGGAAUUACUGGGCGUAAAGCGCGCGUAGGUGGCUUGAUAAGCCGGUUGUGAAAGCCCCGGGCUCAACCUGGGAACGGCAUCCGGAACUGUCAAGCUAGAGUGCAGGAGAGGAAGGUAGAAGUCCCGGUGUAGCGGUGAAAUGCGUAGAGAUCGGGAGGAAUACCAGUGGCGAAGGCGGCCUUCUGGACUGACACUGACACUGAGGUGCGAAAGCGUGGGUAGCAAACAGGAUUAGAUACCCCUGUAGUC